Molecule: long non-coding RNA, 1185 nt
Organism: Gasterosteus aculeatus aculeatus (three-spined stickleback)
Lineage: Eukaryota; Metazoa; Chordata; Actinopteri; Perciformes; Gasterosteidae
Source: Ensembl
AUGACCUGCGAGGUGAUUCAUGGAGGAGCAGCGCGACAUGAUCACCCUGUCGUCUCCUCAGAUUCCCUGCUACUCGUGCUUCCAAGAGAUCGAAUUUAUGCGACUGCACUCACUUCAUUUAUUGGCCCGCCCUGGCGUUGCCCCCGGGGGGGGGGGCUCACUUCCUGUCAGUCUACGUGGGCCAAAGAUUGUAGCUCUGACGAGCCGAACAUAAACAAAGUGAACUUCUACAAACCACUUUCUUCACAUUUCCCUCCCAAACGACGAGAUUUCCUUUCAAAGCCCCCCCCUCACCCCCCCUCUUGUUUAUGAGAUGAGCAGCGAUGGAAUCAGAGGCCUACGGGAAGCAUCUGGGCCUCGUAAUUGGAAGCAGACGUCGGUCCCUUUUCCUCCCGUGUGACGGCGCACUGAGUCACGAAGGUUCUUAGCUGGUGUUCAUCACGCUGACAUCAGACACCUUCGCUUCACACGCCGAGUCCGGAUCAGAGCAGCAGAACUCGGCCGCAAAAACACCGCGAACAAACACAAAUGCAAACGUGGUUGUUUCAAUUGGACAUAAAAAAAAAAAAGAUAAACGGACCCAAGAAAUCAUAUUUUGACUCAACAGUUAAAUAAAUGAAUUAAAUAUUGUGUUUACUUUGUGAACGGAGGCUCGGGGGAGGAGAAUGUCCCAGAGGUCAACAGGUCAAGCUGUCUUAAUGUCCAUGUGAUCACCAUCAAUCAAUGAAUGUUAUCUGCGUGCGCACGGCCAAUAAAGCCGAUGAAACAAGCGUGGCAUCACCUCACAGCCGUGUGAAGCAAAGUGAAUCCACCUGGACUCCGGAGCACGUCGAUCCUGGAGGCUCCUCAAAGCGAGUGUGUGAUGCGUAACGCCGCCUGCAGUGUGUGUUUUCGCUGAUUAACACACCGAACGCACAACAGCUGCAGCACCACCCGACCCGAGGGACGACGACAACAACAACAACAGCUGAGCGUUUAAUGUGCGAUACGCACGGCGGAUUCACGGCGGUGCGGCGAGAUAAAACACAAGCGUGCGGCCUGUGACCUUUCCCAUGGUGCUCGGCGGUAAACGGGGGAAAGCGAGCGCACUGGGAUGAGUAAUGGGACGCUCGUAGUUUGCCAGCCGGUGAGGCCGGAGAUCACGGAGCGAGGCACAUCCGUCUCCACGGAGACACUCCCCCCCCC